UGCCUCCUUCUUGGAUAAACUUUUUUUUAAAAAAAUAGCAUACCUACCAACAAACACCUUUUAUUAAGUAAGAUUGUAGAAGUAGUAUUCUAUACUUUUCUUGGGAUAAUCCAUAAAUUUGCAUCUUACUGAUCUAGCACUCAGCUUAUGUCCAUCAAUAUUUUUUCACAUGAGCCAGACAACCCCAAAUCUUAAGAUGUUUAAGACUGGGUUUCUUUUCUUUCCAUAUCUCA
RNAcentral lists this long non-coding RNA (233 nucleotides) under Elaeis guineensis (African oil palm). RNAcentral describes it as "long non-coding RNA (EGUI_LNC059844)". The record is from RNAcentral. Lineage: Eukaryota; Viridiplantae; Streptophyta; Magnoliopsida; Arecales; Arecaceae.